GUCGCACAAUUUACAAGAGCAUAAAUUGGAUUUGCAAAUCAAAACCUAAAACGGAAAACAUGUUUCUUAACAAGAAUAAAGACUGAUAAAAUACAAGAGACUCUUUUACAGAUGAAAGUAAAAAAAACAACUCUUGUCCUAGCUCUAGAAUUCAUGUCCUUGAAUGGUCACCAUGAGAAUGUCAAAGAGCAUCGCGCAUAACCUGCAAAAAGAUGACAAUGUCAAUAUGUGAAUAAGAGAAAAUGAUAUUUUAAUGACGUCGCUUCUUAUAAUAAAAUCGAGGCGACAAUACAUGCCCCACAAUCCUUAUUACGGGAUUUUAGUAUUUCGCCAAGAUUUUAUCAUAAGAGAAAACAUCAUUAAAAUUAUCAAUCCACGGCCAUCAAUCGAAUGUCCACUUUUAUUCCAAAAGUUUCGUAUGCAAAAGUGUUAUUGGUUUUUGAAAAAUUGAUUUGUGAUUUUUCUCAUAGAAAAUUAGAGUGAUUUCUAUUUUGAGGAAUUUGUACACAAAAUGAUUUGCAUUAUAGUCCCAAAAUGCGAGAAUGAGAAAAUUUGAUAAAAAUGCAAUUUCAAUUUGUGUCCCAAUAUAAUCACAACUUGAAAGUUUUUUUUUCUUUCUUUUUUUCGAAAUGAUUUUGAGCCCAUAACUAGAAAUUUAAACAGAACCAUGUGUUCAACAGGGCCAAAUCAAAAUGUUUAGAACUUGCAUUAAGAUGCUCACUUGUCAAAAGUGAUUGUCA
Molecule: long non-coding RNA, 740 nt
Filed under: Eucalyptus grandis
Lineage: Eukaryota; Viridiplantae; Streptophyta; Magnoliopsida; Myrtales; Myrtaceae
Description: long non-coding RNA (EGRA_LNC007043)
Source: RNAcentral